UCUCUCUCUCUCUCUCUCCCGAAAAUGGCAGUGGAGCCAAGCUCAUCUUCUGCUUCUCAACCAUAGCCUCUAUUUGCUUUUCCAUUUCUCUACUUCUGUUGUAGUGAGUGUUGGUUCGAGUUCUUGAUGAUGGAGGAAGUAGGGAAGGAGACGAAUAAAAAGGAGCCUGUGAGUCUCGAGUGUUUGAUAAUUGUGGUGUUUUUG
Molecule: unclassified non-coding RNA, 204 nt
Filed under: Hevea brasiliensis (rubber tree)
Lineage: Eukaryota; Viridiplantae; Streptophyta; Magnoliopsida; Malpighiales; Euphorbiaceae
Source: RNAcentral